RNAcentral lists this ribosomal RNA (253 nucleotides) under uncultured bacterium. Its description in RNAcentral is "partial 16S ribosomal RNA". It matches the Rfam family "Bacterial small subunit ribosomal RNA", at positions 524 to 776 of the family's 1533-position model. The record is from RNAcentral.
UACGGGGGGAGCAAGCGUUGUUCGGAUUCAUUGGGCGUAAAGGGUGCGUAGGCGGCGCGGUAAGUCGGGUGUGAAAUCUCGGAGCUUAACUCCGAAACUGCAUUCGAUACUGCCGUGCUUGAGGACUGGAGAGGAGACUGGAAUUUACGGUGUAGCGGUGAAAUGCGUAGAUAUCGUAAGGAAGACCAGUGGCGAAGGCGGGUCUCUGGACAGUUCCUGACGCUGAGGCACGAAGGCCAGGGGAGCAAACGGG